CAGUAGCCGCGGGAAUACGAAGGUCCCGAGCGUUGUUCGGAAUCACUGGGCGUAAAGGGAGCGUAGGCGGCGUGGUAAGUCAGAUGUGAAAUCCCGGGGCUCAACCCCGGAACUGCAUCCGAUACUGCCAUGCUAGAGGAUUGGAGAGGUAGCUGGAGUUCUUGGUGUAGCAGUGAAAUGCGUGGAGAUCAAGAGGAACACUCGUGGCGAAAGCGAGCUACUGGACAAUAACUGACGCUGAGGCUCGAGGGCCAGAGUAGCGAAAGGGAUUAGAUACCCCUGUAGUCCCUGUCUCUUAAAC
This 301-nucleotide ribosomal RNA is filed under the name uncultured bacterium. Its description in RNAcentral is "partial 16S ribosomal RNA". It matches the Rfam family "Bacterial small subunit ribosomal RNA", at positions 509 to 807 of the family's 1533-position model. The record is from RNAcentral.